GCCUACAUACCAAAUUUUAUGUAUGGGCAGGCGGAUAUGGCCAAGAAGACUUAGCUCAUCAUCCUGUUCAUGAGUAUAUAUACAUUAUUCGGAUACGCUUUCUUCAGCAACAAAGUUUGGUAGCACACUUGCUAAGCUGACAAGCGGGUACCCCAUCAUUACCAGGAUCUAAAAUUCAGUCUGUUACUGAUGUGGAUAAAGAUGACCUUUAUUGUGCCCCUAGGAACUAGCAGGGAACAGAAUCUCCUUACAAUUGUACAAUUGAGACCAGUUGGAUUGGAAUGCGAACGUUGGGCUUAUAAAAAAGCAGACCUUCGAAAACAAACGGUUCCAACCAGAAAGCUGCUGAAUGAAUCCAAACAAAUUUCAAAUCAAGAGAUGUGUCUCUUGACUGACGCAUUGGAUUAAGGACAACUCAACCCGACAACCAGGCAGUGUCAAGAAGAUUAAAGUCGUCAGGACCGACCUAGAAGUUUUUAUCUGAGAGUAGGUAGGAGAUGGAUUUAAAAGCGUGAAUAAUACAAAAAAAAGUCAGAGGCAGGCAGUGUCAAAGAAGAUUAAAGUCGCCAAGUUAUUAUCAGAACGUCGGGAGGAGAAAUGAAAUAAAAAAAGGAAAAUAAAAAACACCCUCAAACUGAACCCCUAAGAUGAGAGGCUCAGUAGGCUCCGACGGAAGAGUAGACUCAACAGCUAUAUUGAGUACUCCUCCUCCGAUAUGCGAAGCUCGAUUGCAUCUGUGGGUAGUUUAGGGCGUCGUUGGGAAAAUUCGAGUUUUGCCAUGCUGGUUUGAAAUUUAUAGUUAAUCUACAUUUAGAUAUUAUCAAGCGAUAGCUUAUCCCACGAAUCAGAUGUCUGUCUAUUGGAUUUUUUGGACUUUUUCUAAAUCGCAAUGAAAAUACCGACACAGGUAUCGAAUGUUAACAAGAGCCUAAGAUUUACUUUCAAUCAUUAACAUUUUUCUGUAUUGCACUGUACAUGUUUUACAUUUGCAUAUACAUUUUUCAUACCUGAAUG
Drosophila montana is the source of this 1014-nucleotide long non-coding RNA. RefSeq lists it as uncharacterized. The transcript has 3 exons. Lineage: Eukaryota; Metazoa; Arthropoda; Insecta; Diptera; Drosophilidae. The record is from RefSeq and is a predicted model, not a curated record.